UACGGAGGAGGCAAGCGUUAAUCGGAUUUACUGGGCGUAAAGCGCGCGCAGGCGGCUUUGCAAGACAGAUGUGAAAUCCCCGGGCUCAACCUGGGAACUGCAUUUGUGACUGCAAGGCUAGAGUACGGCAGAGGGGGAUGGAAUUCCGCGUGUAGCAGUGAAAUGCGUAGAUAUGCGGAGGAACACCAAUGGCGAAGGCAAUCCCCUGGGCCUGUACUGACGCUCAUGCACGAAAGCGUGGGGAGCAAACAGG
Molecule: ribosomal RNA, 253 nt
Filed under: uncultured bacterium
Lineage: Bacteria
Description: partial 16S ribosomal RNA
Rfam family: Bacterial small subunit ribosomal RNA
Source: RNAcentral